This is a long non-coding RNA of Peromyscus californicus insignis, 1577 nucleotides long. RefSeq lists it as uncharacterized. NCBI's taxonomy places the organism in Eukaryota, Metazoa, Chordata, Mammalia, Rodentia, Cricetidae. The record is from RefSeq and is a predicted model, not a curated record. The transcript has 3 exons.
AUGAGAAGCUGCGGAAUCGGUUGUUGUUGGCGGACUCCGCAGUCAAGGUUUCUGACGGGCGCCUCGAUUCUGUGGGCGGAGUAAGGGAAUCGUGCACGGACGCACGCACGGACGCGCGGCCCGAGGCUCCGCCCUCUGCGUGGGCCUUGCUGCUCUGGGGCCAGCCGAAUGGAUGAUGCUGCCCACGGUGAGCUGGGUCCAUUAACAACCAUGACAACCCCCGACUAACAUGCCCACAGGCCAGUCUGAUGCAAAUGAUUUCUCAACUGAGAGUCUUUUCCUACGUGAUUCUAGAUUGUGGGUUUGUGCAGGCAACUUGGGCUUCUGGGAAUUAAUGAGUGCAGAGGGCCUACCACGUUCAGAAGACACUGUUUCACUGUGGUCCUACCUGUCUUCUGGCUCUCACAAUCUUUCUGUCCCCUCUUCUGCAAUGGUGCCUGAGCACUGUGGUAUUGUAUUCCCCAAAACAUUGUGCAUGCUAAUAAACUUAUCUGGGGUCAGAGACAGAACAACCACAAUAUUAAACAUAGAAGUUAGGCAGUGGUAGCACACGCCUUUAAUCCUAGCAUUCCAGAGGCAGAAAUCCAUCUGUUCAAGGAUACAGCCAAGCAUGAUGACUCACACCUUUAAUCCCAGAAAGCCAGCCUUUAAUCCCAGGGAGUGAUGGCAAAAACAAAAAGAUAUAUAAGGCGUGGAGACCAGAAAUUAGAAGCAUUUGCCUGGUUAAGUAUUUGGCUGGUUAAGCAUUCAGGCUUCUAGAAGCAGUUCAGCUGAGAGCCAUUGGGAUGAGGACACAGAAGCAUCCAGUCUGAGGAAACAAGACCAGCAGAGGAAUUGGCAAGGUGAGAUAACUGUGGCUUGUUCUGUUUCGCUGAUCUACCAGCAUUGACCCCAAUAACUGGCCUCGGGUUUGAUUUUAUUAAUAAGAACUUUUAAGAUUCAUGCUACAGAUCACUGUUGGGGAGGGACUAUAUUAAAGAUGUCUCAUUUGUGGCUAAACACUGACAGACAUGGAUUCUCUUUACUUAGUCCAUUUCUGAGUUUCUGCAUUAACCACUGUCCACUGCACAAAGGAACUUUUCUGAUGAAGUCUAGAUGCUGCAGUGGUUUCUGGGUUUAGAGAUGUAAAUUUAGAGGGAAGUUUGAUACAAUGUCCAGUUAGCAAAAAUAGUAACAGUAGAUUCACCCCGGGGUCUAUGAUCUCCCCAAUAAUGGGGUCCUCGGCCAGAUUUAUAGUUCCAGCAUUUGUUCCUUCCUAUGGCGUAGGUCUUCAAUCCAGUCUUUCUGACUGAGAAACAGAUUGGCUAACCCUGUAACUUUCAUGCCACUGCUGUGGCUAUGGUCAUAUUUGCCACACCAGUUGUUGUUGUAGCUCACAGGGUUCACAUCUGGGAAAGACUUCCGAAAAAUUUUCUCCCCCAGCAACUACACAGCCAAUAGGGAAAGCUUCCUGGUCAGGACCACUUUGAUUCCUCCGAACCCUGUGACCAAAGUUUGUGUUUGUUACUUUUUUCCAGAAAUAGGGUCUUACCAUCAAAUUCUAGUCAGCAACCAAGAGCAUGGCCUGUAUUGUUGUG